This 182-nucleotide small RNA is filed under the name Pongo abelii (Sumatran orangutan). RNAcentral's name for it is "processed transcript". The record is from RNAcentral. Lineage: Eukaryota; Metazoa; Chordata; Mammalia; Primates; Hominidae.
UAAGGACAGAAAAGUGAAAUGCAGUAUGGUGAAGAGGAUACCCUGAAUAUGUAUGAAGACAUGCUGUACAGUUGUGAGACGGAGGCCACAGAAGCUGUUGUGAAGGCAGAGCAGCAUCUGCUGAAGAGACAGAAACCAGCCCCAGAGGUGUCACAAGAAGGCACCAGCAAGGACAUUGGUCU